UACGGGGGGAGCAAGCGUUGUUCGGAUUUACUGGGCGUAAAGGGCGCGUAGGCGGCCACCGCAAGUCGACUGUGAAAUCUCUGGGCUUAACCCAGAAAGGUCAACUGAUACUGCGGGGCUAGAGUGCAGAAGGGGCAACUGGAAUUCUCGGUGUAGCGGUGAAAUGCGUAGAUAUCGAGAGGAACACCUGCGGCGAAGGCGGGUUGCUGGGCUGACACUGACGCUGAUGCGCGAAAGCUAGGGGAGCGAACGGG
This 254-nucleotide ribosomal RNA is filed under the name uncultured bacterium. RNAcentral describes it as "partial 16S ribosomal RNA". It matches the Rfam family "Bacterial small subunit ribosomal RNA", at positions 524 to 776 of the family's 1533-position model. The record is from RNAcentral.